RNAcentral lists this ribosomal RNA (1412 nucleotides) under uncultured bacterium. RNAcentral describes it as "bacterial SSU rRNA". It matches the Rfam family "Bacterial small subunit ribosomal RNA". The record is from RNAcentral.
AGUGGCGGACGGGUGAGUAACAUUUAGGAAUCUACCUAUUAGAGGGGGAUAGCCCGAGGAAACUCGGAAUAAUACCGCAUACACCCUAAGGGGGAAAGCAGGGGACUAUCUCGUAUAGCCUUGCACUAAUAGAUGAGCCUAAAUCGGAUUAGCUAGAUGGUGGGGUAAAAGCCUACCAUGGCGACGAUCCGUAGCUGGUCUGAGAGGACGAUCAGCCACAUCGGGACUGAGACACGGCCCGAACUCCUACGGGAGGCAGCAGUGGGGAAUAUUGGACAAUGGGGGCAACCCUGAUCCAGCAAUGCCGCGUGUGUGAAGAAGGCCUUCGGGUUGUAAAGCACUUUCAGACGCGAGGAAACGGUAGUAGUUAAUACCUGCUACAAUUGACGUUAACGUCAGAAGAAGCACCGGCUAACUCCGUGCCAGCAGCCGCGGUAAUACGGAGGGUGCGAGCGUUAAUCGGAAUUACUGGGCGUAAAGCGCGCGUAGGCGGAUUGAUAAGUCAGAUGUGAAAGCCCCGGGCUUAACCUGGGAACUGCAUUUGAUACUGUCAGUCUUGAGUAUGGUAGAGGUAAGCGGAAUUUCCAGUGUAGCAGUGAAAUGCGUAGAGAUUGGAAGGAAUAUCGAUGGCGAAGGCAGCUUACUGGGCCAAUACUGACGCUGAGGUGCGAAAGCGUGGGUAGCGAGCGGGAUUAGAUACCCCGGUAGUCCACGCUGUAAACGAUGCCAACUAGGUGUAGGGGUCUUGAACUUCUGUGCCGCAGCUAACGCAUUAGGUUGGCCGCCUGGGGAGUACGCACGCAAGUGUAAAACUCAAAGGAAUUGACGGGGACCCGCACAAGCGGUGGAGCAUGUGGUUUAAUUCGAUGCAACGCGAAGAACCUUACCUGGCCUUGACAUCUAGCGAAGAUUUUAGAGAUAGAAUUGUGCCUUCGGGAACGCUAAGACAGGUGUUGCAUGGCUGUCGUCAGCUCGUGUCGUGAGAUGUUGGGUUAAGUCCCGCAACGAGCGCAACCCUUAUCCUUAUUUGCCAGCACGUUAUGGUGGGAACUCUAAGGAGACUGCCAGUGACAAACUGGAGGAAGGCGGGGACGACGUCAAGUCAUCAUGGCCCUUACGACCAGGGCUGCACACGUGCUACAAUGGUAGGCACAAAGGGAAGCUACACGGCGACGUGAUGCCAAUCUCAAAACACCUAUCUCAGUCCAGAUUGGAGUCUGCAACUCGACUCCAUGAAGUCGGAAUCGCUAGUAAUCGCGGAUCAGAAUGUCGCGGUGAAUACGUUCCCGGGCCUUGUACACACCGCCCGUCACACCAUGGGAGUUGAUUGCACCAGAAGUAGUUAGCCUAACUUAGGAGGGCGAUUACCACGGUGUGGUUAAUGACUGGGGUGAAGUCGUAACAAGGUAACC